This 382-nucleotide RNase P RNA is filed under the name Klebsiella pneumoniae. RNAcentral describes it as "RNase P RNA component class A". It matches the Rfam family "Bacterial RNase P class A". Rfam says of the family: Ribonuclease P (RNase P) is a ubiquitous endoribonuclease, found in archaea, bacteria and eukarya as well as chloroplasts and mitochondria. Lineage: Bacteria; Pseudomonadati; Pseudomonadota; Gammaproteobacteria; Enterobacterales; Enterobacteriaceae. The record is from RNAcentral.
GAAGCUGACCAGACAGUCGCCGCUUCGUCGUCGUCCUCCUUCGGGGGGAGACGGGCGGAGGGGAGGAAAGUCCGGGCUCCAUAGGGCAAGGUGCCAGGUAACGCCUGGGGGGUGUCACAGCCCACGACCAGUGCAACAGAGAGCAAACCGCCGAUGGCCCGCGCAAGCGGGAUCAGGUAAGGGUGAAAGGGUGCGGUAAGAGCGCACGCGCGGCUGGUAACAGUCCGCGGCACGGUAAACUCCACCCGGAGCAAGGCCAAAUAGGGGUUCAUAAGGUACGGCCCGUACUGAACCCGGGUAGGCUGCUUGAGCCAGUGAGCGAUUGCUGGCCUAGAUGAAUGACUGUCCACGACAGAACCCGGCUUAUCGGUCAGUUUCACCU